GAGUUCCUCGAGUCUGAACAUCAAAGGAACAAACAACACACUGCAUUCAUUACGAUGCUGAAAUGUUCCUCAUUAAACACUGGUAUUAAAAUGGAAUUACUCAGCUGUAGAUGUAUGAAGUGAACAGUAAGAUGAAUCAGAGUUCGUGACGUGAAUCAUUUUCUCCUGGUUUACUGACCUCCUCUGAAGCAGCGGGAGAUUCAGACUGGAUGUGAUGAACAGCUCUGAUUCAACACUGUUACUCAUGAUGGAGGAAAACAAUGUGGAAAGCAUCUUCAGCGUCAUAAGAAGAUUUCGAUUUUUAAUAAUCACACACCCCUUGUCAAACCUGAAUCAGAUGUGAUGAAGUCACCCUCCUCAUCCUCGUCCAUUAGCAUCAAAACCUCUCAUCAUCACUGAACCUGACGGAUGGAAACCACAUGUUUGGAGCUUACACACUUCAGGAACGAUUUCCUGUAGGAGAAUAAGAGCGUGAGCAAUUUGUAAUCAUUUUAAAUGUUUUUAUGCAUUAGCUAAUGGCUGUGUGUUGAUAAGAUUGGAACAAAAUAUUUAAUGAAGCAAUGCAAAUUCAAUAUUCAUUUGUGCUUUUUUAAAUCAAUUUAUAUAUUCAUUUAUUAAUAUAUUCACACACACACACACACACACACACACACACACACACACACACACAUAUAUACACCAUAUACACACAUACACACACACACACACACACACACACACACACACACACACACACACACACAUACAUACACACACACACACACACACACACACAUAUAUAUAUAUGUAUAAAAUUCACUAAAUAAAAAUAUCUCUAUCUACUAAUUAUUUAAUUAAUAUUUUAUUACUUGUAAAAAAAAUUAUAUAUAUAAAAUAAAUAUAAAAUAUAUUGAUAAUAUAUUUAAUGUUUUUACAAUAAUAAUAAAACUAUUAAAACAUGAAAAUAUACAAAUACAACAUUAUAAAAACAAUAAUAUGGGUGUGUAUAUAUAAUAAAAUUGGAUUAAAUCGA
Molecule: long non-coding RNA, 1012 nt
Filed under: Carassius auratus (goldfish)
Lineage: Eukaryota; Metazoa; Chordata; Actinopteri; Cypriniformes; Cyprinidae
Description: lncRNA (ENSCARG00000024465.1)
Source: RNAcentral